RNAcentral lists this non-coding RNA (170 nucleotides) under bovine gut metagenome. The record is from RNAcentral.
UCCGAUGCCCCUUCGGGGUGUAGGAUUAAUAGGGAAUCAGGUGAGAAUCCUGAACAGACCCGCUGCUGUAAGCCCUCAAAACAGGGAUGUCCAAUACCGCAAGUGCCACUGCCCCUCUGUGGGUGGGAAGGCGGACAAACCAGGGUAAGUCAGAAGACCUGCAAGACAAC